UACGUAGGGUGCGAGCGUUAAUCGGAAUUACUGGGCGUAAAGCGUGUGCAGGCGGUUUGUUAAGACAGGUGUGAAAUCCCCGGGCUUAACCUGGGAACUGCGCUUGUUACUGGCAGGCUUGAGUGUGGCAGAGGGGGGUGGAAUUCCACGUGUAGCAGUGAAAUGCGUAGAGAUGUGGAGGAACACCGAUGGCGAAGGCAGCCCCCUGGGCUAACACUGACGCUCAUGCACGAAAGCGUGGGGAGCAAACAGG
This 253-nucleotide ribosomal RNA is filed under the name uncultured bacterium. RNAcentral's name for it is "partial 16S ribosomal RNA". It matches the Rfam family "Bacterial small subunit ribosomal RNA", at positions 524 to 776 of the family's 1533-position model. The record is from RNAcentral.